CUCUAGCAUUUCUAGUAUUAGAGGCACUGCCUGCCCAGUGACACUAGUUAAACGGCCGCGGUAUCCUGACCGUGCAAAGGUAGCAUAAUCAUUUGUUCCCUAAAUAGGGACUUGUAUGAAUGGCCACACGAGGGCUUUACUGUCUCUUACUUCUAAUCCGUGAAAUUGACCUUCCCGUGAAGAGGCGGGAAUACAACAAUAAGACGAGAAGACCCUAUGGAGCUUUAAUUAACCGGCCCAAAGAAACCUUACUAACAACCGACAGGGAUAACAAACCUCUACAUGGACCGGCAAUUUAGGUUGGGGUGACCUCGGAGAACAAAAUAACCUCCGAGUGAUUUAAAUCUAGACUAACCAGUCAAAAGUAUCACAUCACUUAUUGAUCCAAAAACUUGAUCAACGGAACA
RNAcentral lists this ribosomal RNA (407 nucleotides) under Felis silvestris bieti (Chinese desert cat). RNAcentral describes it as "partial 16S ribosomal RNA". It matches the Rfam family "Bacterial large subunit ribosomal RNA", at positions 1826 to 2459 of the family's 2925-position model. Lineage: Eukaryota; Metazoa; Chordata; Mammalia; Carnivora; Felidae. The record is from RNAcentral.